AUGCUGUGUUGCAUUGGCUGAAGCAUAAUGAUGUGCCUCAAUCUUGCAAUGUACCUCUAUCUUGCAUUGGACCAAGGUACUACUGAUGUCAUCACAUAAUGAGUCUUGCAUAAUUCAAGACAAAGGUGUCAAGACA
Molecule: long non-coding RNA, 136 nt
Filed under: Amphimedon queenslandica
Lineage: Eukaryota; Metazoa; Porifera; Demospongiae; Haplosclerida; Niphatidae
Description: uncharacterized LOC109591207
Source: RNAcentral